UAGGAGUGGGCAAGCAUCGCGGCUGCCACUUAUCUCGCUGCCGCCCUGCUAGGUGCCCAUAUGCGCGAGAGCAAGUACAGCGACAGCAGAAAGAAGCACCUUUCACCAUAUUCACGCUCCUAUUCCCUCAUAAUCUUCUCCACACCUGCAUACAUACACGGGUGAGGGCCAGACGCUUGAGCCCUGCCGAGACGGAAAGGGCAGGUGGAGAGUCGAGCACACGCACACGUUGACGCAACACAUGGGGUCUUCAUUGAGAACGUAUUCGCCUGUUGCCUGCUGAUUCGCCCUUUCUUGCGCCAGAAAGGGACCACAAACGCUGUGUUCCGCACACACACACACGCGCACACCUACGCACAGAUACAGAAGCGCGAGCAAACCUCUUUUUUUUUGCACUUUUUCGUUUCUGUUGGCGAAGACACGCCCAUACGCACGGAGAAGGACGGCAAGACCACACCUCACCGACAGCAUCUUCAUCUCCCUCCCACUCGCGUCUCCCUCUGAGUGGGCUCUUCUUCUUCAUUUCCUCCGUGCAGCCGAGGUGCUGUUUUGUUUUGACUUCUCAGUUUUUUUGCUGCGUGUGUCUUGUGCACUCCGCUCCGCAUUCGCUCCGUUAUCGAGCGCACGUGCCAACUUCCCGGGCAGCUGCGCAGCACACUGCAGUUUUUUCGCCCGCCUUCAGAGAAGAUACAACGACCCACCCUUCCCCGGCUAACGGUGCCUGAUGAGCUCCGCUGGUGAGGUGAGCGUAGCCGCCGGAUCGGCGGUGGAAGGCGAAGAUUCACGUCUUCGCGUCGGCGAUGCGUUAGACGAAGUCGACGACGGCUCAGCAGCGGCCGCCUCGCCAACUUCGACAACAUCGGCUGCCACGAAGGCGAAGAAGAAGUCGGCCAAGACGCCGACUAACAGGCGCACCAGCGGCAGCGGCAUCGAUGUUUGCGACAACGACGACGGCCAGGCCCUCUCUCGGUGCCUUGUGUACUGUCGACUGCGCCCCACCAUCAAGAAAGAUUACAAGGAAGGCGGCCACGCGCUCGUCACUCUGGAGGACAAGCGCGUCGUCGUCAAAGAUGAGCGCCACUACGACUUUGACGGCAGCUUCGGCCCGCUCGCCGAGCAGUCGGAAGUGUUCGAAUCCGUCGCGAUCCCGUGCAUUGACCAUGCUUUCAACGGCUUCUGCUCCGCGCUGAUGUGUUACGGCCAGACCGGCACUGGGAAGUCCUACACCAUGUGCAACACCGACCCCCAUCACCUCGGCAUCAUCCCCCGUGCGGCGAAGUACAUCUUCGAGAAGAUCCAAGCCAACGAGGCGAGCGACCCGACGCGAACGUACGUGGUGACGGGCCAAUUCGUGCAGAUCUACCGCGAUAAUCUUGGUGACUUGAUGGUGCAUGAGGGCAAGGAUCGGGUGGAGAUCCACUACGACGAGGAGAACGGGGUGUCGCUGACAGGGUGCACCUCCCACGCCUUGGCGAGCUCCAAGGACUUCAUGCGCUUCUACAACGAGGGAAAUGCGCGCCGCGUCAUCGGGUCAACCGCCAUGAACGCGGAGUCGAGCCGCGGGCACACCGCCAUGAUCGUCUACGUCACGUCUGAGGACAUGGAGGACAUCAGCAAAGGUAAACUGCGCGGCAAGAUCACGUUCAUCGAUCUGGCCGGCUACGAGCGCUUUAGCAAGACUGGCAUCACCAACGCCGACCCGAUCCGCAAGGAUGAGGCCAAGACGAUCAACGCAUCUCUCCUGGCUCUCGGCCACGUCGUCAGCUCCCUCUCAGCCGGCACGAAGCACGUUCCGUGGCGCAAUGCGAAGCUGACACGCAUCCUGCAGGACUCGAUCGGCGGGCGUAGCCGCACCUCGAUCAUCCUCACCGUUGGCCCCAGUAGCGAGCACCUCUACGAAACAACCAACACGCUUCAGUUUGGUCUGCGUGCCAUGGCCGUCAAGGUGGAAGCGAAGAUGUCUGUUACGGUGGACUACGUGAAGCUGUCGAAGAAGCUCAUGGGUCUGCUGAGUGAGCGGGAUGAGCGAAUCAGCUCGUUGGAGGUGCAGAUCGCCAACCGCGACGCGGAGCGGCAGGAGCUGCUUGAGCGCUAUCAGCGCGAUCGCGGCGACCUUGAGCAGCGCUUCGCCGCGGAGCUGCAGCAGCUGACCGCGUCCGGGGCGAGCGAGCAGCAGAUCCGCAACCUCAAGGAGGUCUACCAGGUGGAGAUCGAAAACCUGCAGGACCAGCAGCAAGAGGAGAUCGGGUACCAUGAUGAGAUCCACUCGAAGGAGAUCACGCAGUUCAUCAAGGAGCAAAAGCACCAAGAGGCGAAGAGCCUGAUGGAGAUGAAGCUGGCGCAAGAGCGCUUGGUCGAGGAGUUCCAGCGGAAGCUCGACAACGCCCGCGGCGGGACGAACGAGGAUCUCGUGCGCGCGCUACAGCAACUCGCGGAGAAGGACGCCAUUCUCGCCUCGCGUGCCAACGACACGGCCCGCCUACAUGCCACCAUCGACGCGCUCACAACGCAGGUGCGGUCAUUCGGUGGCACGGUGCAAGCGGACGUCGACUUUCCGGAGACUUUUCUUGAUGUCUCGCAGGUGGAGGAGAUGCGGGCCCGCCUGCAGGGUGAGGUGGAGCGCAACUACAACAAGGUAGUCGACCUGUCCACCCAGCUGGAUCGCGCCUCGAUGCUGGCGCGCGAUCGAAUGGAGGAGGUGUCGAAGCUGCAGCAGGAGGCAGAGCGGCUGCACGAGAAGCUUGUCCAGGCCGGUGUGGAGAUCAGCGAGUCCAACGAGGAGCUGCAGGAGCUUCGUGAGAAGCGGGCUGAGCUGGUUGACCCCGAAGAGCUUGAGAGCCUUCGCUUGCUCAUGCAGACGGAUAUCGACGAGCUGCGCAGUCAGAGAGACGAACUGCAGGCAGAGUUAAGACGUGUGAACGAGGCGCGCGUGCGCGAGUCCAUGGCACGACGUCGCAACGUGCUGGACAGCCCCGAGACCCUGAAGCGCAUCCUUGCGGAGGACGUGGGGGAAGGUACGGAGGACCUGGGCGGCAACGCCUCACGUGAGCAGGGGCGUGGUGACUCCGGCAACGCUGCUGACGGUGUGCACAAGAUGGGGCCAAAGGCAAAGGCGAUGCAGAGGGCGUACAAGAAAAUGAUUCAAAAGCUGAACCGCCAGCUGUCGGAUAGCAGCCGUGACAGGGCUGCACUCGUGCAACGCAUUCAGCAGCUCGAGCGCACGCUCACGCUCUACGGCAUCCCCGUACAGGCGACACCCGGGUGCGCCACGGAGUAUAAGGAGGCCGAGGCUAGUCACGGUGGCAACACCAGGGGCGGGCCUGCUCGCCCAGACGCCUCCGCGUCGGACCGGGAGAGCUCCAGCGCUGAGAGUCACACGGAGGAGUCGUUGCUGACUGCUGGCAGCGCAGACGCCGCGCUCGUGCUGCUUUUCAAGGAGCAGGAGAUUGAGGUGCGGGAUGGCCUGAUCGCUCAGCUUGAGAGGCAGCUGUCAAAAGCGGUGUCGGCAUACGAAAAUGAUCAAAAAUAUAUUCAGGAGCUGAAGACACUGCUACGCGAUGCCGGCGAGACACCGCCAGAGACGUCGUCGAGCGGCUCGCAGCCGGUGGAGGGGGUGCCGCUGGAGGAGUACAGCACGCUGCUACGGCAGCUCCGUUCCCAUAACCGCAAGCUUCUCGUGGAGCUACUUGUGCUGCAGUCGCGCCAGAAGGCGGAGGCAACGGAGUCACCCACGACCGAGCGGUUGCUCUUCGAGGAACAGCUGGAGGAACGAGACACGGAGCUGGAGAUGAAGGAUGAAAUGCUGCUUGAGAAGAACGCGAUGCUGCAGUACAUGGCGACGCUGAGUGCGCGGCUCAUCAAUCAAAUGGAGGCGCUGGGGCUCGAGCCGUGCUGUCAUCUGCCGGAGCGCUAUCAAGACCUCGUCAAGGCGGAAAAGGACCAGCUUGACAUCCAGGCAGCAAAGCAGCGCGAGCUGGAGGCGCAGCUGCAGCGGGAGCAGGACGAGAAGAAGAAGAUGAAACGGCUGCUCGAGGCGAUCAAUGCCGAGCGUGAACAGGGCGCUGCCGUCCUUCGGCAGACGGAGCUGCGCAACAAGGAACUGCGCGAGCGCGAGAACAGCGCGAUGACGGCACUGCAGGAGCUCACAGAGCGAACGAUACAGAAGGAAAUGAUGCGCGACGAGGCGCUGCGGCGCACCACGCAUGAGCUCAUGGAACUGCAGGCGCGUUACGCUAAUCAGCAGCACCGCCGCAGCUCCAACCUCUUCGAGCGGCUUCUCCGCAGCAUCAUUGAAUAGGAAAAACUGAAAACAGGACCUCCUUAAUAACUCAUUCCCAUUGCCGCUGUCGGUAGCGACGUGCCAUCUGCGACGCCUCCUUGUUCAUCACUGUGAAUGCCUUCAUCUCCCCCCUCCACCCCCUCUUUCACCUGACGCGUUCGCUUUUCGCCCUGUCCGUGAGCGCGUAUGCGCGAGGGCUCUGUGAGGCGUCCUUUGUCUUUCUGUGCCUCGCGUGUUGCGCGAAGGUGCAUAUGUGUGCGUAUGUGUGUAUGUGUGUGGUGUGUCCCCCUGUACUCGUCAUGAUUGGCGAUUUCGCUGCUUGGCUGUCUUGCGUUUUUUUUUACCUUUUUUAUUGCCGCUUUGUGCAUUCUCCUUUGUGUCUUUCUUCCACCCACCUCUCGUUGUCGUUCUCCCUUUGCUCGGUCUUGAACAUCCCUCACCUCACCUCGUCCCCCCCCCCUCUGUGUGUGUGUGUGUGUUUGAGUAUGCUUGUAUAGAUUGAUAGGGGUGUGCUGGUGCGCAACACAUCUCGCCCUCCUUUGCCUCAUCUCCGCAGUCGUCUUCAUUGAUUGGUGCUCUGCGUCUCCCUCGCUGUGUUAGCGGCUCUUCCCCCCCCCCCCCCACACACACACAAAACGAUAAGAGCAACAGCAAAAGUCGAACGAAGCGCCUCAGCGAUUUACUCGCCUCUGCUCAUGUGCUUAACGAUCCGUUGCGUUGUAUAUGGCGUCUUCAGGUCAGCUGUGUUCUCUCAACACGCUCUUC
RNAcentral lists this unclassified non-coding RNA (5044 nucleotides) under Leishmania donovani. RNAcentral describes it as "gene:LdHU3.30.4110(CDS-product:kinesin_putative)". The record is from RNAcentral. Lineage: Eukaryota; Euglenozoa; Kinetoplastea; Trypanosomatida; Trypanosomatidae.